RNAcentral lists this ribosomal RNA (110 nucleotides) under Microcebus murinus (gray mouse lemur). The record is from RNAcentral. Lineage: Eukaryota; Metazoa; Chordata; Mammalia; Primates; Cheirogaleidae.
GUCUACGGCCAUCCCACCCUGAACGCGCCCGAUCUCAUCUGCUCUUGGAAGCUAAACAGGGUUGGGCCUGGUUAGUACUUGGAUGGGAGAAGAGUUAGAGGAGGUGGAAG